This is an unclassified non-coding RNA of Rhinopithecus bieti (black snub-nosed monkey), 204 nucleotides long. Its record names the gene 7SK. It matches the Rfam family "7SK RNA". From Rfam's summary of the family: 7SK was discovered as an abundant small nuclear RNA in the mid-70s but a possible function has only recently been suggested. Two independent studies have found that 7SK RNA binds the CDK9/cyclin T complex (known as elongation factor P-TEFb). The record is from Ensembl. NCBI's taxonomy places the organism in Eukaryota, Metazoa, Chordata, Mammalia, Primates, Cercopithecidae.
GGAUGUGAGGCUGGCUAAGUGGGUGUCCGCUUCCUCCCUCACCACUUCACAUGUGUUCCUCUUAAGCUGUGUGCUCGGUCGAAGAGGACAACUUUCCCUGAUAGAGGAGGACUGCUCUUCAGUACAGGCAUGCAAAUAACUCCCUUUGGGAGGUGAUUAGGUCCUAACAGUGGAGCUCUGCUGAUUGGGGUUCAUGCCUUUUUC